RNAcentral lists this long non-coding RNA (818 nucleotides) under Salmo salar (Atlantic salmon). RNAcentral's name for it is "lncRNA (ENSSSAG00000105637.1)". The record is from RNAcentral. Lineage: Eukaryota; Metazoa; Chordata; Actinopteri; Salmoniformes; Salmonidae.
UUAAGGUUAGGCAUUAAUGAAUGGUUAAGGUAAGGGUUAAGGUUAGGCAUUAAUGAAUGGUUAAGGUAUUAACUCUGAAUGGUUAAGGUAAGGGUUAAGAUUUGGUAUAGGCUUAAAACAACAAAAGUUUUAAAUAACUUGCAACCUUUUCAAAUAGAGGCAGAUGCUUACACAACGUCCUAGCAAAACUGAAAGCUAUUUGAAGGUAACAGAGCUCACUGUUGCCCCUGGUGUCCAGUUUCCACGUCAUCUCCCGAUGUCCUCAGACAUGGAUGGACGUUGAAUACUGACUUGUAUCACGGGUGACCUGGCUGUUAAAUCCACCACCUGUUUGUCUGAGCAGAUAAGAGAAUUCAGUGGGAUUCUGUAUAUAACUCCUUUACCAGACCAGGCCUCGGAGAGGGAAGAGGCUACUGGAGUCUAUAGUACAACUGGCUCUAGGAGGAAAUCUAUCUACUAUCUAUUGUUGAACAAAAUGUUGCAGUUUAAUGAUCAUCAUAAUCAUCACACAUCCAUUAUCUUUCAGGGUGAUGGGUAAUAAAAUAUGAAUCAUUUUUCUGUCAAUAAAGUGGUGGUUUAAUUCAAGUCACCGUGGUUUACAAGGUUUCCACUGUUGCCUGGUCUCUAUCAGUUGAGUAACUACAUUUCGGCCACUAGAGACGGAGGUGUCUGUCUGUCAAACAGAAUUCCUGUAUACCAUUAGAGGAGAGGAGAGGACAGGAGAGGAGUAGAGGUGAAACAGGACAGUCAGACCUGGGACGUAAAACCCUGAAGGCAUACUGUGUAGGUACAAUAUUAGUAAGAAAGAGAGAGAGACA